AGUGAACGCUGGCGAUAGGCCUAACACAUGCAAGUCGAACGGCAGCACAGUAAGAGCUUGCUCUUACGGGUGGCGAGUGGCGGACGGGUGAGGAAUACAUCGGAAUCUACUUUUUCGUGGGGGAUAACGUAGGGAAACUUACGCUAAUACCGCAUACGACCUACGGGUGAAAGCAGGGGAUCUUCGGACCUUGCGCGAUUGAAUGAGCCGAUGUCGGAUUAGCUAGUUGGCGGGGUAAAGGCCCACCAAGGCGACGAUCCGUAGCUGGUCUGAGAGGAUGAUCAGCCACACUGGAACUGAGACACGGUCCAGACUCCUACGGGAGGCAGCAGUGGGGAAUAUUGGACAAUGGGCACAAGCCUGAUCCAGCCAUACCGCGUGGGUGAAGAAGGCCUUCGGGUUGUAAAGCCCUUUUGUUGGGGAAGAAAAGCAGCAGGUUAAUACCCCGCUGUUCUGACGGUACCCAAAGAAUAAGCACCGGCUAACUUCGUG
This 492-nucleotide ribosomal RNA is filed under the name uncultured bacterium. Its description in RNAcentral is "partial 16S ribosomal RNA". It matches the Rfam family "Bacterial small subunit ribosomal RNA", at positions 29 to 507 of the family's 1533-position model. The record is from RNAcentral.